CCUACGGGGGGCUGCAGUGGGGAAUAUUGGACAAUGGGGGGAACCCUGAUCCAGCCAUGCCGCGUGUGUGAAGAAGGCCCUCGGGUUGUAAAGCACUUUCAGUGAGGAAGAACGCCUGGUGGUUAAUACCCAUCAGGAAAGACAUCACUCACAGAAGAAGCACCGGCUAACUCCGUGCCAGCAGCCGCGGUAAUACGGAGGGUGCGAGCGUUAAUCGGAAUUACUGGGCGUAAAGCGCGCGUAGGUGGCUUGAUAAGCCGGUUGUGAAAGCCCCGGGCUCAACCUGGGAACGGCAUCCGGAACUGUCAAGCUAGAGUGCAGGAGAGGAAGGUAGAACUCCCGGUGUAGCGGUGAAAUGCGUAGAGAUCGGGAGGAAUACCAGUGGCGAAGGCGGCCUUCUGGACUGACACUGACACUGAGGUGCGAAAGCGUGGGUAGCAAACAGGAUUAGAUACCCUAGUAGUC
Molecule: ribosomal RNA, 465 nt
Filed under: Vreelandella stevensii
Lineage: Bacteria; Pseudomonadati; Pseudomonadota; Gammaproteobacteria; Oceanospirillales; Halomonadaceae
Description: partial 16S ribosomal RNA
Rfam family: Bacterial small subunit ribosomal RNA
Source: RNAcentral